GCAGGAUGGUAAUUGAGGAUCUAUUGCUAUAUAAAUCACAAACCUUUGUCCAUCCAUUUCACUUCCUGUUUUAAUUCUAAAGAGAACAUACUCCUCAGCUCAUUUAUCUAUCUCUCUCUCGAGCAGAAACAUAACUUUUCCCUUUCUCUUUUCUCUCUCACAAACUCACCAUCAUCAUCAACAACCCCAAAGUCACUACACUUCCCAUUGAUUCACCACUUGAGAAAGUCAGAACAACAAGCGUAACUCUCUUUUUCUCUCUCGCCUCACUCCCUCAAAUUGAUGGCAAAUCCCUCACUUUGAAUCAAUGAAAGGAAAACCCAUUGCAUGUGUGUUUAUGUUCAAAUUCAAGCUCUUGCUGAUUAGGAAUAGAGGUGAGAAUAAUGAAAUUAGUUCCUUUUCCAUCCUUCUUUGUUCUCAUUUAAGUUUUCAAAACUAAACCCUUAUUCAUUCUUUGUUGUGGCUGCAUGUGAGGAAUUGUUGUUUUGAACCUAUGCAUAAAUGUUUGGAGCUGCAAAUUGAGUGAAACAAGGAUUGGAAGACCCUUUAAUGGGUUAGAAGAAUUGGGAGAGCUCAUAGCCAGCCUUUUUGCCUCUUUGGUGGUUAUUGACACUUUAAGGUAAGAAAUUCUGCACAUUUUUGUUUGUACCAGUCGUCAGUAAUCGAGUUGUAGCUGACAAACCGAAAAUCCAUUUCGUAUGGCACUUACAUGUAUGGAAAGCUAACGAAAUUUCCUUCAGUUGGCUACAAGUUUCGUGAAAUUUGGAUCAGUAUUGAAGCCGGUAGAUGCUUCUGAAGUCAGGGCACUGAUGCUGUCAAAAUUCUGGUUUUGUGACUGCGGGUUUGAGCUUCAAGAGGCACGAACAUCCGGAACAACUCAGUGACGCUAGAAAUAUCAGGUGGGUUUGUUUAAGUAGAGACAUGGCAACCAUAAGUCCAAAGCAUAGGAUUUUAAUUUAUUUUCAUGUUGGGAUAUGAUUAGUAACCUAGAUAACUCAUAAAUGGCUUAAUUAUGAAAUUGGACUUAAUUCCCCAUUGCAUGUGACUGUGUUGGUUGUAUCUAUGAUGGUUAAGGUGUUAUAAAUGAUUAGAGACAAUUAGGGACUGUUUUAGAACUCUGUUUAUUGAUUUUGCAGUUUUGCACGAAAACUUGCAUUGGUGCAAGGCUUGGUUGAAUCGGUUCAACCAACUCAGAACAAGUACAAUGGGUAAAACUGGGCCUGUUGAGUCGGUGCGUCAUAAUGAUGAACCGGUGCAAGAGGUUCCAGAGUUACAGGUUGGAAAUUCUGGGCAAAUUGUACCGGUGCGAGCAAGGCUUGAGUCAGUGCAAGAAUCCUAGGAAAACAAAAUAGUUUCCAAGUAGUUAUGAACCGGUGCAAGGAGAGUUUGAGCCGGUGCAAAUGGUAAGUUUGCACCGGUACAAGCCAACUUUGAAUCGGUGCAUAAAUCUUAGAGUGGUCCCUAUGGAGUCCAAAGGCACUGAUGCACCGGUGCAAGUUAAUCUUGAACCGGUGCAUCCUGACAAAACAGUUUGAAAAGCUUGAGUACUUAACCAUCAGAAAUCGAACUGAACGUACAUGCUUUAAAACAUGAGUAUAGGUAGCAACAUGAAUUAGAAACCUAUGCAUGGAUCUAUUUGAUCACUUAGGACUUCCCGGGAUGGGUUGUUAUGUUCAGUUAAUUAAUUAGAGUAGUUGAUCAAUUAGUGGUUAAUUCCCCAACCACUUAUUACUAGAGUUUAAUUGUUGUGCACCGUCGGUGUAAUUUUUUUUUACACAUACAUCCAAUAACGUGUUGCCACAUCAUUUAAUGAAUGUGACACAUCAUGUGUUUUUAAUUACCAUACAUGAUGUGUCGGUAUAUUAUUGGACGAAUGUGCAAAAUAACUUUACACCGACGGUGCAUAUAAAUUAAAUUCUUAUUACUAUAGCAUUAUGCUAUGAGAGGUUUCCGUACAUUAGUAGGGAAUCCGUUAAGUUAUGUAAUUAAUGUGAGUAAGACCAACGUGGCAUAGCUAUGUCACAACGGGUAGUGGAGAACAUCCUAAGAGGAGUACAUCCUUAGUGGACCUUUCGAGAUAUACUCACCUCGGAAGCUUCCUGUAAAAUGAACAAGAUUAUAAUUGUGUGAUUCACUUUUAAUUAUGUUAAGCUAUGUUUUAAUGAAUAUAAGAUUAUUAGUGAUCAACUAUUUUCAGGACCCUGGUGUUAGUACACCAAGUAGAGGGUAGUAAGAAACUCACUAAGGCUUAGUAGUCUCACCCCACAAUUAUUGAUUAUAGGUAGCAGGUUGUCAUUCGAGAAGGUGGAACUGGGACGGAUCAACAAGGCUUAUUCAGUGGUUAUCUGUUUUAGACUAAAGGGAGAUUUUGUAUAGGAUUAUGCCAUAUGUACAUGUAUUUAUCAGUUAUCAUGGUUCUAAUGUAAACUUAUUAACGGUUACAUUAUGACAGCUUAUUCAGUUUAAUUAAAUCAUGUAUAUUUGGUAUUUCCUUCAGACUACUUGUGUAAAAGAUCAGUUUUAUUUCCAAAAUUUUAAUGUUUCCCGAUUCAGUUA
Molecule: long non-coding RNA, 2556 nt
Filed under: Trifolium pratense (red clover)
Lineage: Eukaryota; Viridiplantae; Streptophyta; Magnoliopsida; Fabales; Fabaceae
Description: long non-coding RNA (TPRA_LNC007763)
Source: RNAcentral